GGCCCCGUCGUCUAGCCUGGUCUAGGACACAUGCCUUUCACGCAUGCAACACGGGUUCGAAUCCCGUCGGGGUCA
This is a transfer RNA of Singulisphaera acidiphila DSM 18658, 75 nucleotides long. It matches the Rfam family "tRNA". Rfam says of the family: Transfer RNA (tRNA) molecules are approximately 80 nucleotides in length. Their secondary structure includes four short double-helical elements and three loops (D, anti-codon, and T loops). Further hydrogen bonds mediate the characteristic L-shaped molecular structure. tRNAs have two regions of fundamental functional importance: the anti-codon, which is responsible for specific mRNA codon recognition, and the 3' end, to which the tRNAs corresponding amino acid is attached (by aminoacyl-tRNA synthetases). tRNAs cope with the degeneracy of the genetic code in two manners: having more than one tRNA (with a specific anti-codon) for a particular amino acid; and 'wobble' base-pairing, i.e. permitting non-standard base-pairing at the 3rd anti-codon position. Lineage: Bacteria; Pseudomonadati; Planctomycetota; Planctomycetia; Isosphaerales; Isosphaeraceae. The record is from Rfam.